Molecule: ribosomal RNA, 433 nt
Filed under: uncultured bacterium
Lineage: Bacteria
Description: bacterial SSU rRNA
Rfam family: Bacterial small subunit ribosomal RNA
Source: RNAcentral
GAACGCGAAGAACCUUACCUACCCUUGACAUGCCAGGAAGCCCGCAGAGAUGUGGGUGUGCCCGAAAGGGAACCUGGACACAGGUGCUGCAUGGCUGUCGUCAGCUCGUGUCGUGAGAUGUUGGGUUAAGUCCCGCAACGAGCGCAACCCUUGCCAUUAGUUGCUACAUUCAGUUGGGCACUCUAAUGGGACCGCCGGAGACAAACCGGAGGAAGGUGGGGAUGACGUCAAGUCCUCAUGGCCCUUAUGGGUAGGCUUCACACGUAAUACAAUGGUCGGUACAGAGGGCUGCCAACCCGCAAGGGGGAGCUAAUCCCAGAAAGCCGAUCGUAGUCCGGAUUGUAGUCUGCAACUCGACUGCAUGAAGCCGGAAUCGCUAGUAAUCGCGGAUCAGCAUGUCGCGGUGAAUACGUUCCCGGGUCUUGUACACACC